Long non-coding RNA from Leptinotarsa decemlineata (Colorado potato beetle), 223 nucleotides. The record is from RefSeq and is a predicted model, not a curated record. Lineage: Eukaryota; Metazoa; Arthropoda; Insecta; Coleoptera; Chrysomelidae.
AUGUUAGCAAUCUCCUAUUUCUGAAGAGGCUCAUAACUUGACGGUUACAACAGCUGAUAGCAUUCGAAAUGAACAGGUUGAUGAUGUACUUAUUUUAAAUUGGGAUUCCUCUGGAGUAAAAGACAGUUCGUCAGGACUUGAACUAACUCGGAAUAACUAUGAUCUCAACGUAGAAGUUCAAGAAGCAUGGGAUGUUCUUACCGAGCACCAACCAGAGCCAGGU